RNAcentral lists this transfer RNA (72 nucleotides) under Camelus bactrianus (Bactrian camel). It matches the Rfam family "tRNA". From Rfam's summary of the family: Transfer RNA (tRNA) molecules are approximately 80 nucleotides in length. Their secondary structure includes four short double-helical elements and three loops (D, anti-codon, and T loops). The record is from Rfam by way of RNAcentral. Lineage: Eukaryota; Metazoa; Chordata; Mammalia; Artiodactyla; Camelidae. RNAcentral also lists the same sequence under 3 other names.
GAUGGUAUAGCUCAGUGGUAGACUGCAUGCUUAGCAUGCAUGAGGUCCUGGGUCCAAUCCCCAGUACCUCCA